UUCGUCCAAUUGAAGCAGAGGACAGUGGCGGACGGGUGAGUAACGCGUGAGGAACCUGCCUAUCAGAGGGGGAUAACGAUUGGAAACGAUCGCUAAUACCGCAUGACAUAGCGGAACCGCAUGGUUUUGCUAUCAAAGAUUUUAUCGCUGAUAGAUGGGCUCGCGUCCGAUUAGAUAGUUGGUGGGGUAACGGCCUACCAAGUCGACGAUCGGUAGCCGGACUGAGAGGUUGACCGGCCACAUUGGGACUGAGAUACGGCCCAGACUCC
This 269-nucleotide ribosomal RNA is filed under the name uncultured Eubacteriales bacterium. RNAcentral's name for it is "uncultured Clostridiales bacterium partial 16S ribosomal RNA". It matches the Rfam family "Bacterial small subunit ribosomal RNA", at positions 74 to 339 of the family's 1533-position model. RNAcentral also lists the same sequence under 1 other name. Lineage: Bacteria; Bacillati; Bacillota; Clostridia; Eubacteriales. The record is from RNAcentral.